Non-coding RNA from Schistocerca gregaria, 72 nucleotides. NCBI's taxonomy places the organism in Eukaryota, Metazoa, Arthropoda, Insecta, Orthoptera, Acrididae. The record is from the annotation of a RefSeq genome assembly.
GGCCUGUUGGUCUAGUGGUAUGAUUCCUGCUUUGGGUGCUUGAAUUCCCGGGUUCAAAUCCCGGACAGGCCC